This 487-nucleotide ribosomal RNA is filed under the name Paenibacillus sp. C2PN16. RNAcentral's name for it is "bacterial SSU rRNA". It matches the Rfam family "Bacterial small subunit ribosomal RNA", at positions 66 to 525 of the family's 1533-position model. Lineage: Bacteria; Bacillati; Bacillota; Bacilli; Caryophanales; Paenibacillaceae. The record is from RNAcentral.
GUUGUUUUGAAAGCUUGCUUUCAAAACAAACUAGCGGCGGACGGGUGAGUAACACGUAGGUAACCUGCCUGUAAGACUGGGAUAACUACCGGAAACCGGUAGCUAACUACCCGGAAUCAUUUUGUUUUCUUUCUCACUGAAAGAGACAACUGAAAAGGGCGGAAGUUCAUCUGCCCACUUCCUAGAUUGGGCCUGCGGCGCAUUAGCUAGUUGGUUGAGGUAACGGCUCACCAAGGCGACGCUGCGUAGCCGACCUGAGAGGGUGAACGGCCACACUGGGACUGAGACACGGCCCAGACUUCCUACGGGAGGCAGCAAGUAAGGGACAUUCUUCCGCACAUGGACGAAAGUCUGAACGGAGCACAUGCCGUCGUGAGUGCAUGAAGGUUUUCGGCAUCGUAAAGCUCUGUUGCCCAGGGAAGCACGCUUGGGAGAAGUAACUGCUCUUACAAGGUGACGGCUAACCGUAGAAGAAGCCCCCGGCAUC